RNAcentral lists this small nucleolar RNA (109 nucleotides) under Schizosaccharomyces japonicus yFS275. RNAcentral's name for it is "small nucleolar RNA SNORD14". The record is from RNAcentral. Lineage: Eukaryota; Fungi; Ascomycota; Schizosaccharomycetes; Schizosaccharomycetales; Schizosaccharomycetaceae.
AGCGUGUGAUGAUAAUUUUCCACAAACAUUCGCAGUUUUCACGGAUCGACAUAAGAACCCAAUCUUGUCGGAUAUGACGGCCCAGUCCUUCCUUUGGAUGUCUGAUGCU